This 208-nucleotide long non-coding RNA is filed under the name Mytilus galloprovincialis (Mediterranean mussel). The record is from RNAcentral. Lineage: Eukaryota; Metazoa; Mollusca; Bivalvia; Mytilida; Mytilidae.
GGACACAAAGGCCAUAGGCGAGAUAAUCUUGGUGGUUUUAUCGUCACAAUAAAACCUCAGUGAUAGAUAGAUGUAUGGAAUUCAUAAUAAGCGAUUUUCAUCAGUUCCUGGCAUCUAUUUAGCUGAUUAGAAACGUUCGUCUUUUAUGAUGGAAAGAUCAUGUUUGAUGAAAUCUUACAUCUCAAUUAUAGAAAGUAUCAAUCAGGAC